RNAcentral lists this ribosomal RNA (367 nucleotides) under uncultured bacterium. RNAcentral's name for it is "bacterial SSU rRNA". It matches the Rfam family "Bacterial small subunit ribosomal RNA", at positions 527 to 896 of the family's 1533-position model. The record is from RNAcentral.
AGAGGUGGCAAGCGUUGUUCGGAAUUACUGGGCGUAAAGGGCGCGUAGGCGGCCUGCUAAGUCAGACGUGAAAUCCCCCGGCUUAACCUGGGAACUGCGUUUGAAACUGGAAGGCUAGAGUGUGGCAGAGGGGGGUGGAAUUCCACGUGUAGCAGUGAAAUGCGUAGAUAUGUGGAGGAACACCGAUGGCGAAGGCAGCCCCCUGGGCUAACACUGACGCUCAUGCACGAGAGCGUGGGGAGCAAACAGGAUUAGAUACCCUGGUAGUCCACGCCCUAAACGAUGGAUACUCGACAUACGCGAUAUACUGUGUGUGUCUGAGCGAAAGCAUUAAGUAUCCCACCUGGGAAGUACGAUCGCAAGAUUG